ACGGGUGAGUAACGCGUGGGAACAUACCCAACUCUACGGAAUAACUCACGGAAACUUGUGCUAAUACCGUAUACGCCCUUCGGGGGAAAGAUUUAUCGGAGUUGGAUUGGCCCGCGUUGGAUUAGCUAGUUGGUGGGGUAAAGGCCUACCAAGGCGACGAUCCAUAGCUGGUCUGAGAGGAUGAUCAGCCACAUUGGGACUGAGACACGGCCCAAACUCCUACGGGAGGCAGCAGUGGGGAAUAUUGGACAAUGGGCGCAAGCCUGAUCCAGCCAUGCCGCGUGUGUGAUGAAGGCCUUAGGGUUGUAAAGCACUUUCACCGGAGAAGAUAAUGACGGUAUCCGGAGAAAAAGCCCCGGCUAACUUCGUGCCAGCAGCCGCGGUAAUACGAAGGGGGCUAGCGUUGUUCGGAAUUACUGGGCGUAAAGCGCACGUAGGCCGAUCGAUCAGUCAGGGGUGAAAUCCCAGAGCUCAACUCUGGAACUGCCUUUGAUACUGUCGGUCUAGGAAGGGCACAAUGUGAGUGGAAUUCCGAGUGUAGAGGUGAAAUUCGUAGA
RNAcentral lists this ribosomal RNA (557 nucleotides) under Proteobacteria bacterium BvORHM074. RNAcentral's name for it is "bacterial SSU rRNA". It matches the Rfam family "Bacterial small subunit ribosomal RNA", at positions 102 to 694 of the family's 1533-position model. Lineage: Bacteria; Pseudomonadati; Pseudomonadota. The record is from RNAcentral.